Molecule: ribosomal RNA, 734 nt
Filed under: Corynebacterium aurimucosum
Lineage: Bacteria; Bacillati; Actinomycetota; Actinomycetes; Mycobacteriales; Corynebacteriaceae
Description: bacterial SSU rRNA
Rfam family: Bacterial small subunit ribosomal RNA
Source: RNAcentral
CGUGCUUAACACAUGCAAGUCGAACGGAAGGCCUCUUGCUUGCRGGGGUACUCGAGUGGCGAACGGGUGAGUAACACGUGGGUGAUCUGCCUUGCACUCUGGGAUAAGCUUGGGAAACUGGGUCUAAUACCGGAUAUGAACUGCCUUUAGUGUGGUGGUUGGAAAGUUUUUUCGGUGCAAGAUGAGCUCGCGGCCUAUCAGCUUGUUGGUGGGGUAAUGGCCUACCAAGGCGUCGACGGGUAGCCGGCCUGAGAGGGUGUACGGCCACAUUGGGACUGAGAUACGGCCCAGACUCCUACGGGAGGCAGCAGUGGGGAAUAUUGCACAGUGGGCGGAAGCCUGAUGCAGCGACGCCGCGUGGGGGAUGACGGCCUUCGGGUUGUAAACUCCUUUCGACAGGGACGAAGCUUUUUGUGACGGUACCUGUAUAAGAAGCACCGGCUAACUACGUGCCAGCAGCCGCGGUAAUACGUAGGGUGCGAGCGUUGUCCGGAAUUACUGGGCGUAAAGAGCUCGUAGGUGGUUUGUCGCGUCGUCUGUGAAAUUCCGGGGCUUAACUUCGGGCGUGCAGGCGAUACGGGCAUAUCUUGAGUGCUGUAGGGGAGACUGGAAUUCCUGGUGUAGCGGUGAAAUGCGCAGAUAUCAGGAGGAACACCGAUGGCGAAGGCAGGUCUCUGGGCAGUUACUGACGCUGAGGAGCGAACGCAUGGGUAGCACACAGGAUUAGAUACCCU